GUUUAUUAUAAUGCAUUGUAAAACCUUGACAGAUUGAACAAGCCAGUCGCUUAUAUCUAAUGCAUUGCGUAUUGUAAAAGAUUUUUGCCUUUCUUAUGUAUCAUAUAUGCAACUCUCCAUGUUUAACGAAGCGGCUUAUCCAUAGUUCUCAUAUUGUUAAUAUUUUACAGUCCUUGUCAAUGCAAAAAUAAAGAAUACCUUUUUUUUUU
This is a non-coding RNA of Pelobates cultripes (western spadefoot toad), 209 nucleotides long. Lineage: Eukaryota; Metazoa; Chordata; Amphibia; Anura; Pelobatidae. The record is from the annotation of a GenBank genome assembly.